GACAUGACUCUCGCAGCAAGCUCCGCCUUCUAACAGACUUGCGACUCUCUGGCCUGGAUAUUUCUGACGUCACAUUGCGGUUGAUCAUCCGGCAUUGCCCACUUCUAUCCAAGCUGGACCUCAGCCACUGUCCUCUGUUGUCAGACCAGUCUGUCAACCUUCUGACUGCUGUGGGUUCCUCCACACGAGCAUCCCUCAGCCAUAUCCACCUUGCAGGCUGCAAAGGAGUGACAGACCAAUCCCUUAUCUACUUGAGACGUGCCUGUAACCUGAUUCUUAUUGACCUCCGUGGCUGCAAACUGGUGUCAAGGGGAGCAUGUGAGAGUUUCAUCUCAGACUUGUCUGUGAGCACAUUGUACUGUCUGUCUGAUGACAAGCUCAUUCAACGGAUCAGCUAGACUGAGAGCCUGUUUUAGGACUAGAAGGUGUGGGGGUGUGAGGAAGCACACUAUCAAUCACACUUUUCCCCCUCAAUAGCUCUCUUCUCGCCCCCUCUAUCAUCAGAUGCAAAUGAGGAGCAAUAACUGGCAUCCCAAGAUCCUGCCCCUUUUGUUGCCUCUGAAAGCUGACAACUGGUGUGAGGGGGUGGGCUUAAUCUGAAACGGGUAUAAAACCAGCUCUGGCGGCCCUAGUGGUGGGGGCAUAUCUGGGACUGGCAUAUUGACACCUCUAGUACCAGAUCUACGUUCAUGACGAGCAAACACUUUAUAUUUUUCUUUGGUUUUGCUCCUUAGUCCAGAAUCCCCCUCUCCUCCAAAAUGGUCAAGGAGAGGACAUAGGGAGUAGACCUGGCAUUUUUUUUUAUUAUUUUUUUGUGCUCUCUUUAGCAUUAUAAGGGGCAAGUGCUCAGCUAAAGUUACUUCUCCGGGUGUUUGGGUACGGUGUGUGUGUGUGUUUGGAGAGGGAUGAGGUGGCUUCAUGAUAAAUAGUGAGAUUUAUUAUUAUUAUUAUUAUUGUUAUAUAUUUUUUCAUUUUUAACUUAAUUCGGUUGAUGCUUUUGCAACCUCCCCUCUCCCUAUGGAGCACACACCCAGACUCGCACACAUCAAUGCAUUAAAUUUACACUCGGGGAGCUAUUUGUGCAUAUAUACCAUGUAUACACAUACACACGAAAGGCACGUUUGUCAGUGCCACUCGUGUUGUACAGUUAGCUGUUCCCUCCCCUGUCCCGGGACAAGAUUGUAUUAAAAAAAAAAAAAGAGCCUGGAUAUUUUUCUCUGUGGGAGCGGUCUCGCUUUCCCUUUAUUUCUUUUGCAAUAAAAAAGAAAAUUUAUGAUAUA
Long non-coding RNA from Bombina bombina (fire-bellied toad), 1280 nucleotides. RefSeq lists it as uncharacterized. The transcript is spliced from 2 exons. The record is from RefSeq and is a predicted model, not a curated record. NCBI's taxonomy places the organism in Eukaryota, Metazoa, Chordata, Amphibia, Anura, Bombinatoridae.